Molecule: long non-coding RNA, 7148 nt
Organism: Globicephala melas (long-finned pilot whale)
Lineage: Eukaryota; Metazoa; Chordata; Mammalia; Artiodactyla; Delphinidae
Source: RefSeq, a predicted model, not a curated record
ACGCCGCGGGAAAAGCGGUCGUGUUAGGUGGUCAAGGUGGUUUGGAGCUGAGGUCGUCUCCUCAAGAGUAACCGCGGGCCUGUGCUACGGUCACGCCACCGGCCUUCGUUUCCUUUAGCCUUCUCUCUCACCAAACGAUUUUCCUGUCCAUUUAUAAAGUGCAAGUUGUUUCCCCAAGGUUCCAGCAUUUCUUCAUCGGUGGUUGUUCAGCAUUUAGUUGUGACCCUAGUAUUUCCAUCAGAAGAGUACACGGACCUCUCACCACCGCGGCCUCUCCCACUGCAGAGCACAGGUUCCGGACGCGCAGGCCCAGCGGCCGUGGCUCACGGGCCCAGCCACUCCGCGGCAUGUGGGAUCAUCCCGGACGGGGGCAUGAACCCGCGUCCCCUGCAUCGGCAGGCGGACUCUCAACCACUGUGCCACCAGGGAAGCCCCGUUGUUGCAAUUUUAAAAGCUGAGAUGGAGCAAUAGAGACCAGAUGUACCUUUCCCAGCUGAAACAACUAAAAAGACAAGACAAAAUGUAUUAAAGAAUGGUUCUUGAGACACUGGACACUACACAGUGAAGAACAGUGAUCCCUGAGAGAUGAGAACCAAAUAAGAUCUUGGAAUGCUCCAGUCUUUUUGCAAAGUCGAUGAGUGGCUUCAGCCCUGGGGAAGAAGCCCGAAAGGUGACCAGAUGGAACCUGCAUUCACAGUCUUCAAAGUUCCCUUUUGAAACAUAAGGAAGAGAAUGAAGGGGAGAAGGAUUUCACACUUUCGGGCUUACAAUCUGAAGGUGUCCGUUCCUACACUGGUCAGACCACUGUCCUUGGGGCAGCUGGGGUCUUUGGGACCCUCCACCGGGCUCGCCGGUCCGUCGGACUUUUGGCUGAGAUCCGUGUCAGACUCCUCCGAAUAGUCGUCUGUUGGCAUCGAGGGCUGAACCCCUGAGGUGCUGCAUGAACUUGAGAGCGCGCUCUCGCACGCCAGGCAGUGGUACGAGCCGCCGCCGCCACCGCCGCCGCCGCCGCCCGUGGGGACGUGAAGCACCAUCUCUUGCAGGUUCACCACAGACUGGCCGAAGAAGCAGAGGGACUUCAGGUGGCUCCUCGCCGCCUCCUCGUCACUGAAGCCCGCCUGGCACUUGCGGCAGACCAACUUGUACUGCACCUUUGGAACAAUGAAGGGGUCGUAGAGGGAGUCCGCACUUUUGCUUUCUGCUUCUGGCUCUUCGGGGGGUUUCGGCAGGAGGGGGGACACCUCACGGGGUGCGUUUUUCUGCUCUUCUGGUCUGGGGGAUUCUUUGGCAGGGUCUUUGUCUGGGGAAGCAGCCCCCUGGGGGACUGGGGUUUGGCUUGCUUUGGGCUGCUGCUGCACUUUUUGCUGCUGCUGCUGCAGCUGCCGCUGCUGCUGGAUGGCCUCCUGCAGACUCUGCUGGUAUUGCUGGUACUGCUGCAGCAGGGAGCCCGGGGACAGCCCCAUCAGGGCCUGCGACAGCGCAGGGCUGUAGGGGAACAGGCCUUCCAUGCCGUACAUAGGCUGCAGGUACCCGCUCUGCAGGGCGCCGGGGAUCUGGGGGGCGUAAUAAGGAGAGAAGCCUGGUACAAAGUAAGGGAGGAACUGGCUCGUGAGCAACGCUGUGGGGUCCGAAGUCAAGGCUGCCUGCAGGGCCUGCAGCUGCGCAGGGUCCACUGCAUACUCCAUGGCGGGCAGCGGUGCUGAGAUCGUGGCUGCGGCUGCCGUGGGGGCCUCUCCUUUCUCUUUCUUGGGGACGGGCAGGGGUUCCCCUUUCCCUUUGUGUGCCUUUUCCUUCUCCUUUCCCUUCUCACCAUCUCUGUCCUUGCGUUGCUGUUGCUGCUGCUGCGGCGGGAGCUGCGGCGCGGGUGGCGGCUGGGCUGCUGGCGGCGGCGGCGGCUGCGGUUGGGGACUUGGCAGAGGGGCCGUCGCCGCGGGGGCCUGUGCUGGCGUGGGGGAGCUCAGCGACGCCGAGGGUGGUUUAUUUGGUAAUCCAGACGUGGGGAGGCCGGGGGAAGGAACUGUUGUGCUGGGCAGACCCAUCAAGUUCGGUUUAGGAGAUGUUAAAGCUGAAAGGAGUGGAGACAGAGAAAUCACGUGUCAGUCUGGGGUGCUGAGGCUAGUGCUAAAGAUGUUUCACCUGUGUCACUGGCACAGGGUCUAAGAGCUCAAGGUUUGAACUUGGAGGAUCCUGUUGAUCCAACGGCUUUCCCGCCAGGCCCAGGUUGGAUAGCCUGUAUUCUAAUCCGGACCCAGCCCUGGGUCAGCUCCCAUACCAGGUAAACAACUUCCAACACCUUCCUGCCCAACGUGCCACACCCAUCCCACUCGGUCAUGUUUUCUCUGCUGCGCUCCCAACUCUGCCCAAGGCAAUUAGUCUGGAGGCCCCCAGACAAGCUGCUGCCAGCCGGGACCCAUCGGAACCGAUGGCCUUCAUCAAAAGCCCCACAGAAAUAGUACAGUCAAGAGGCCCCACCAGAAGCUGUCUGCGGAAGACAGCAAAAGCAAGAAACCCGGCCAGACACCAAGACCACCUGAACAAACACAACAGGCUCUACACAUGUGCCUCUCUGACCUCCACUGCUGCAGGUGAAUGGAUGUGUUUAGGAGGGCACAGAGAGGAGGAGCAAUGGGAAGAAAUGGAAACAAUCCAUUCAAGGUAAACAGUGGCACUGCUUUGGCUCAGCUGAUCUGCUUUAACAAAUCUGCUGAAAAAUGUAACCACCUAGGAAUAGGAUUCUGUAGUCCACCGGAAAAAUGAGCAUUUUCUUCUCCUGCCCCUAUCUGAAUGACAUACGGGAGGAUUAGGACUGCAGAUGCUUGAGAAAGCAGCCAUAGGAAGAGGAGAAGAGCAAUGUCAAAGUGCUGGCACCAGCAAUUCCUAAGACAUCACAACCUACCCCAGGCACCACUGCUUACGGGUGGCAGACCAUGUCACCAGGCGCACGCAGGACACAGCCCCAUCCUCAAUCACACUCAGGCCUAAUCUACCACUACCUGUAAAGCCUUCACCCAGCCCCAGAGCCUGACCUCCUCCCUGACCCAUAUCUCCUGGGUUAAAGCUUUUGUUUCAGGGUGAUGGAGGGCUUCUGCUGGUUCAUGAAGACUAGCAAGGUGGCGGUGAAGGACAGCACUGACCACAUCCAAGACACUAGACGGUAUGCGUCCCUCCUCUUCAGAGGACACCAAAAUGUACUACUUUAUCUGGACCACCUUCAGCAAGAAAGCUGGGGUGGGGUUCCAAACAAGUCACUGUCUUCAUGAGAAAAAACACUCUGAAGCCCAAGCCAGGUGAAGACAAUGUUGAUUUCUAGCUCCAGUGGUGCAGUAUUCCCUGGGCUAUCACGCUGCACUAAAAAAAAAAAAAACUCAGAUUUCGGGUGAAGAGAACAAGGUUGCCUCAAGUUGCCAGUCCCAGCAAAAACAGGCAUUAACUUUUGGAUAGCCAAGGAGGAUGCCUCCCUCAGCAUCACAUAAUAUCAUUAAUUGACUCUUCCAAAAUGGCAGAAAGGGACCACUGAAAUUAAGUCAUCCAAUUUCCUGAAUGUACUUACGGGACUGAAAUCAGAGGAGAAGAUGUGUCUGACUUAGAAAAACUCAGUAAAGGCUUGUUGGUUAAAGUGGCACAAAGCAGAUUAUGAAUUCCAACUCGGGACAUGGCUUUGUCUAUUUCUAGGCAACAGGCUUGCUCCAAGCGUUAGGCUGGAGCUGUAGGCAGAGCCCAAUGACCAGUGGGGCAGAGAAGGAAGCGCCUGUUGAUCUCCCCAUCCCUCUGGCAUCAGGCUUCCAGAGGAGAACUGACUUCCUCUACCUUGAACUGACAGUGCACAAGAGAGCUUCAAUUUUAAGAAACAUGUACUGAACUUCUGCUAUUUACCAGGCUCUGCACUAGCCAUGUGAGAUAAAGUAGCUCAAUACAUUCUCACAAUAAUUCCGUGGCUUUGGUUUUCUUAUCUGUAAGAUCAGAACCAAAGAGGCCACUUCAUCCCCCUGAGGCUGAGUCACGUACUCCUGGAGUCGGACUGACGAGGUAUGGACUGUGGCUGACACACAUCUGCCGUGUGAUAUCGGGCCUAUUAGUUGACUGCUUGGAACCGCAGCUUUCCACAACAGAUGGAUGUAGGGUUUAAAUGGAAGCUCAUAUGGAAAGAGCUUACCAUCGGGCCUGACGUAUUAAACACACGUUCUUUCUUUCUUUCCUAAUUCCAGAUGCAGUGCUCCUGGGAGCUGCGGUACAGUCAGACGGUGGUAACUGGGGCGGGCCUGGCUGCUAUGAAUGAUUAAGAGCUGAUCUGUCUUCCUACCUGGAGUCCACUCUAAGUGCUCAGAACCUGAGUAGCACUAAACAUAUACCUGUUGACUGACUGGCUCGUAUUGGGUGCUGUGGGAGGAGUACAUAGCACUGGGAGCCCGGCUCCUACCCUAGCUUGUUGAAUGGUCUUGACCUCUCUGGGCCUCAGUUUUCUCAUCUGUAAAACAAGGGGAAUAGAUCAGACAUUUUGAUUCUAAUAUUUUCACAUUAUUAUGAAAUGUUGGGCUUUCCCAAGCCCCUCUUCCAAGGUCCUGGGCUGCAAGUGAAGUUCAGUGCCCAGCCACUUUCCAUAGUCUCUUUCUUGGCUUAUGUCUAGCUGACUUUAACAUCAUUCUGUGACAUUACUUGCCAACACAUGUAAGCAACGACUUCUACAUCUUAAUGCUUUCUUUUCUUGUUCUUCUCUUUGGAUAAGAAACUGGGAUCUGGAAUGAGGUAGCCCUCACGUUCUGUAGAACACUGCUAAAAUUAUAAAACUUGGAUUUAAUUCAACCAGAAACCAGGGCUGCUCUGGGAAGCAGCAGAACCACUUCCACCCCGGGAAGAGGGCCAUGUUUUGAAGGAUCCUGGAGGUGAAAGUCCAAUUUAGGGAAGACAGCUGGAUUCAGAGAAGACGGGUGAGGGCAGAGGAGGAGGAACAAGAGAGGUACACAGAAAGAACUGCGGCACUCCCUACGAAGUGGAAAAAUAACUACCAAAUAUCGAGAUGGGAUCUGCAUUUCCCCACAAGGACUGAAUGGAAGGGUCUAUAAUGGAAACUGCUGUCUUGAAAAUACCCCAGGAUCUAGUACGCCAGAACCCUGAAGUUGACGCCUAUCACACACACCCUGGUGGUGGUACCGAACACCAGGCACGAGAAUGGUUUCAGGAGACUGUUCCAACCACAAGAUCCCCAUCCUUGAACAGGCAAGUCAAAGAGUCGUGUACACUCCAGCUCUAGGGAGACUCAGUGGAAGGGACCUGAGGUUUUAUUGCUGUUAGAGAACUUGAAAAGGGAAGCUUCCUAUCAGGCCAGCACUCAGAGGUUUUGUGUGAUAGCCAUAGAAGAAGCGCUAAUUGGGCGGCUAUUUAAUACUGGGAGAAUCACCAAGAGCAGAACCCACCUGUGUUGGAUGGAGUAAAGCCUGGCAAGGAGGGGCUGUUGAGGCCGGGGAGCAACACGGGAGGAAUGCCCUGGAUUGCCGGAUAUGCCGUAGGAAGGUUGAGAGCCUGAAGAGGGGCGUUGUCAAACAUCCCUUGCUGCUGAGCUGCCAGUCCGAGGACCUCAUUGGCCUUUUUAAUCCGGUCCAACUCUUGUUGAGCCAUCAACUGACGUACAGUGGCUGGGUCAAAGUAUUCUUUCUCCUUGUCCAGCUGGCUUCCAAUGGUGUCUUUAACUUUGGAGAUAUGCUGUUGGGAAAAGAUAUGGUCACGUACAGACAGCCGAGCGCUGUACUUGAUGCCACACAAAGUGCACUCUGUUUUGGGUCCCUCGUAACUUGUUUGGUUUAUACCAAAAUGCUUGGCCAUGCUUAACUUGGACUUCUUUUCUUUUGCCCGGGCAUUCUGGAACCAGACCUGAACCACUCUCUUUGGCAGUCCAAUGUCAUUGCCCAGGACUUCACACUCUAGCAUGGUGGGUGUCCUGUAGUCAUUAAAGCAUGACUUGAGGACCUUCAGCUGCAGAUUGGUCAUCUGAGUGCGAAAACGUUUCUGCCCGGGCCUAUCCCCACUGUCUCCAGAUUUGCCUGCUGACCCACUUGCACCAGGGCUUGGGGAGCAGGGGUCUGCAAGGCUCGAGGUUUCACUGUAGUCCACUGUACCUUCAUUGUCAUACUCCUUGCUGUAAAAGCUCGGGGCUGGGCUGACCAGACCGGAUGACAACCGAUCUUCAUACUCGGACAUUGCCAUCAUGGCCGCUUUGGUCAACCCUUCACUGGGCGCGGAAGAGGAUUUGGUUUCAGUUGCUAUUCCCGUCGCACUGUCGUUAUCCGCAUUGCCCUCGUCUCCAGUAGUGGUAUCUGUGAUCGCUGUGUUGACUGAGGAACAGUCGUCGUUGUCCAGCUUAGUUUGGUCAAAGUUUAGAUUAACUGAAGACAUGGAAGGGCUUUCAAAGUCUUCAAUCCCUUCCACCUUGAUGGAAGAAGGGCUAAGAAGAGUUCUAGGAGACAACUCCAUGGUUUUGCUCACAGGGCUGGCACUGGCCUUUUCCUCCAGCUUCCUCUUGAGAGUGUUCAUCGUGGAGGUGGGAGUUGAAGGGGAAGUGGCCGAGCUUGCCGGAAUCUGAGGACCGUGACACUGCCUUGUCAAUGCCCUCAACCUGCCUCCUACCCCCGCUCUUCAGAAUGAUUUUCAACCGUGCAGUUGCUCAGCAGUGUGGAUGAACGAGCGCGGAGGCUGAGACCGCCCGACUCAUCCACUCCCUGGAAAGCAAACCCGGUGUAACCCAGUGCAGCAUUAGCGUCCUCACAGGACCGGAGUCCACCCUCGUCCUUCAAGGCUGAACGCAUGAUGAAUGGUGACGAGGUUGCAGAGUAUUUUGCACAGUUUAACCUCACAGCAAACUGGAAUGUUCUGGAAAGAAGAGGCGAGCAAAAUAGAAGGUCCUUGAAACCAAGAAGGGUGGUUCCCCACUCCCUCACAUCCGUUAAAAACAAAGUCAUGGAGAAAAGUACUGAUUCUAACUCAGUGUGCUACUGAGAGAGAAUGGAAGACGGCAGAGAGUAAAUGGUGACGUCUUAACGGCAGAAUAUUUGAUGGGCAAAGGUGAAAAAGCCAGGGCAAGCAGAAGGAGGGUCUUGAUGGAGGAAGAAUGGCCUCUUAAGUUUGCUUAUCAGAAUAAACCGCUUUGUGGAUUUGAA